AUUGAACGCUGGCGGCAUGCCUUACACAUGCAAGUCGAACAGCAGCACGGGAGCAAUCCUGGUGGCGAGUGGCGAACGGGUGAGUAAUAUAUCGGAACGUGCCCAGUCGUGGGGAUAACGUAGCGAAAGCUACGCUAAUACCGCAUACGAUCUAUGGAUGAAAGCGGGGGAUCGCAAGACCUCGCGCGAUUGGAGCGGCCGAUAUCAGAUUAGGUAGUUGGUGAGGUAAAGGCUCACCAAGCCGACGAUCUGUAGCUGGUCUGAGAGGACGACCAGCCACACUGGGACUGAGACACGGCCCAGACUCCUACGGGAGGCAGCAGUGGGGAAUUUUGGACAAUGGGCGCAAGCCUGAUCCAGCAAUGCCGCGUGCAGGAUGAAGGCCUGGUUGUAAC
This 395-nucleotide ribosomal RNA is filed under the name uncultured bacterium. Its description in RNAcentral is "bacterial SSU rRNA". It matches the Rfam family "Bacterial small subunit ribosomal RNA", at positions 30 to 429 of the family's 1533-position model. The record is from RNAcentral.